UCGGGAAUUUUGGGCAAUGGGCGAAAGCCUGACCCAGCAACGCCGCGUGAAGGAUGAAAUCCUUCGGGAUGUAAACUUCGCAAGAACGGGAAGAAUAAGUAAGAGCUAACAUCUCUUACGAUGACGGUACUGUUUGUAAGCUCCGGCUAACUCCGUGCCAGCAGCCGCGGUAAUACGGGGGGAGCAAGCGUUGUUCGGAUUUACUGGGCGUAAAGGGCGCGUAGGCGGCCACCGCAAGUCGACUGUGAAAUCUCCGGGCUUAACCCGGAAAGGUCAGCCGAUACUGCGGGGCUAGAGUGCAGAAGGGGCAACUGGAAUUCUCGGCGUAGCGGUGAAAUGCGUAGAUAUCGAGAGGAACACCUGCGGCGAAGGCGGGUUGCUGGGCUGACACUGACGCUGAUGCGCGAAAGCUAGGGGAGCGAACGGGAUUAGAUACCCCGGUAGUCCUAGCCUUAAACGAUGAAUGCUUGGUGUCUGGGGUUUUAUAGUCCCCGGGUGCCGUCGCUAACGCUUUAAGCAUUCCGCCUGGGGAGUACGGUCGCAAGACUGC
Molecule: ribosomal RNA, 550 nt
Filed under: uncultured Acidobacteriota bacterium
Lineage: Bacteria; Pseudomonadati; Acidobacteriota
Description: bacterial SSU rRNA
Rfam family: Bacterial small subunit ribosomal RNA
Source: RNAcentral